CCGCUAGGACGCACUCCGUCGCCCCGAAGGGGCUGGGAAAGUGGGCUGCCGGCGAGGUCGGGGAGCAGGUGGCGCGCCGCCCUCCCCGCGGCCCACGAGGGAGCCCUCGGAGGAGCCCUCGGAGGCUGUCGCUUGCUCUGCCAGGCCCGGCGCCUCAGCGCUGAGCGGAGAGCGGGAAGGGCCGUCGCCGCUCCAGGCCACGGGUCGGGCUCUUCAGCGCCUCAACCUGGCGGCGGGCCCUGAGCUGGGCCGGAGGCGCCUAGGAAGCUUGAGCGGAGCCGGGCCACGGAACGGGCCGUGAGCGCCGUCUGGGGAGGUUGGGAAGACGUGCGUGCAGACGCGAUGCUGGUGGACGCAGAAAGGCUGUGGGACCUCUUGGGUGUGACACUGUGUAAAAGGGGACCCAGCUGACCUCGAAAGGGCCCUGUGUCAGGGGACCCCGAGUGUCCAGAGCCAAGGACCACGCCGGGCUCCACGAUUUGCUAGGAGGACUCACAAGACCAGCGGACACUUGGACUCAGGUUAGGGACCUAAAUCUGGCCGCUCAGCACAUCACAGGUCAAUCAACAGACAGGAAGGUGGGUCUGUUUGAGAAGCUGACUGCCCGAAGUCCCUCUUGCCAGGAGGCCGGUUUAGGGGUGGUUUAUGUGGGAGGUGAGUAACGGAGCUUUGAGGCUCAGGGCCCGUCAUAUCCUAAUCACCUAGUCACAAGAUGCUCUUCACUUCUGCAGAUCUCAAGAUGAAAGAUCAGCAUUUCCUGGGGCCAUCUUGUUACUCGCUCAUUGAGUAGUUUUCAGUUCCUGACAUUACACUAUGGACAGGCUGGGGAGCUGAUCACUAGAUUCACUAGAAUGCAAGAAAACUGCCAGGCAUGGUGGUUCUCACCUGUAGUCCCAGCGACGUGGGAGGGCUAAGGCAGGAGAAUCACAAGUUUGAGACCAGCCUCAGCGAUUUAGCAAGGUCCUCAUAACUUAGGGAGACCCUGUCUCAAAAAAUAAGGGCUGGGGAUGUGGCUCAGUGAUAGAGUGCCUUUGGGUUUAAUCCCUUGUAUCCCCGCCCCCCACCAAAAUAAAGAAGUCAAACAGUUUGCCUGACUAUUGUAGAAGAGGAGGGCCAGGCCAGGUCAGGUAGGGAGGUGGACAAGACAUCUGGGCUCAGUGCUCAGGUUCAUGUGAUUUAUCACAGAAGGAUGAAAAGCAAAAUCUGCAAAGGGAAAAAAAGGUGCUUGGAGUGGGGGGCAGCCAGGUGGGAGCCCACUUGAGACCUCUGGGUGGAAUCACAUGGGAUGCUCCUGAUCUCCCAGAAGUGAGUUGUGACAACUUGUGUGAAAUGUUGCCAACUAGGGAAUCUUGUUAGAGACCAGUGCCUAAGGGUUUUAUCAAGAUCUAGUCACGUAGCAACUUCUUGGCACAUACCAAAAUGUCAGACUCCCAGCAGGAAAGCAGGUAUUCAUCAUAAGCCAUAUUGUUUGUAUGGAUUAGGCAAUGAUACCCUCUUCUCAGAAUGUGGGAACUCUCCCGAAAUCCAGGCUCCCCAAAAGCAGGCCUUUCAAAGAGCAGCAGUCAGAUAAAAUAUUUUGUUUUGUAUGCUGAACAAUUUUGUAUUAUAGCAAAAAAAAAAAAGCCAUAAAUUAUGUGCAAAUGAAUGUAGCUGUGUUCAAUUACAGUUUUACUUAUUUAAUUUUUAGUACUGGGGAUUGAACCCAGGAGCACUUAACCAUGGAACCACAUUCCCAGCCCUUUUUGAGACAGGAUCCCAAGACUGGCCUCCAGCUUGCGAUCCUCCUGCUUCAGCCUCCUGAGGCACAUUCCUAUAAUCCCAGCAACUCAGGAGGCUGAAGCAGGAAUAUUGCAAGUUCCAGGUAAGCCUUGGCAACUUAGUGAAACCUUGUCUCACAGUAGAAUAUAAAAAGGGCUUGGGCCGGUGCUGUGGCACACACCUGUAAUCUCAGUUGCUCAGGAAGCUGAGGCAGGAGGAUUGCAAGUUCAAAGCCAACCUCAGCAAAAGUGAGGUGCUAAGCAACUCAGUGAGACCUUGUCUCUAAAUGAAAUACAAAAUAGGGCUGGGGAUGUAGCUCAGUGGCUGAGCGCUCCUGGGUUCAAUCUCUGGUACCAGUUAAAAAAAAAAAAAAGAAAGGUAUAAUAAAUGCACAAUGAUUCCUCUGCAGGAAACUGUUAGGUAGUAUUAAUGAGCAGCGAAAUGCAAAUUAAUAACAUAAGUAGGGUCACCAGUAUUCUUCAAAUUGCUUUUAAGACUAAUGAAUAAUUGAGUUACUUACAGAAAAACAACAGGUGUUCUAACACUGAGAGUAAACAGGUGGACACAAAGGAGCCAAUUGAGAAAUGUGGAAAGGAAAGAUCAGUGGGGCUGACUCAUGAUGGGCUAACUGGGAUCACUGCGUAGUUAGGAUUGAUGGCCUGAGGUUCCUUGGUGCACAUUAGAGGAGACAGUUCUCCAGUAACACCAGUGAGCUAAGAUAAAGUUGAUCUGGUCACCGAGCACAGCAGCUACAUUAACAGGAUUGACUUGCAGAUGAGUCCCCACCAUAAUCACCAUGACAGUUCCUGAAAGAACCCACCCCCACCAUGUGGAGGAGGAGGUAAACAUGCUGGGUAAAGACUGUAGAAGGUGAUGUCAGUUCCUAGGGCAAACGUAGAACUGUAAUAAAUUUAUUGUUCUCUGCUCGGAGAUGACCCACUUUCUCUUGAGGGUGUUCUUUGUUUGAGCCCUAUUUUACUUUCACUUCUUGCUUGGCCUUUCCUGUCUGCCAUUAAAUUUCCUUUUGUGGGAACAAAAGAACUGAGGCUUGGGGCAUCAGCUUGCCACUUGACUGUGACAGAACCAUCCAGUAUGGGUAUUGAAAUUAGUGGGGUGGAGUGCUUGCCUAGCAUGCAUGCAGCCCUGGGUUCCAUCCUCAGCACCACAAAAAAUAAAUACAUGAAAUUUUUAGUGGGUAAAAGUAUGAAAACGUGUGCCAGGUUUCCAAGGACUUACAACAAAGGGAAAGCAAUAUCUUUCCAAUAAAGAGAUCAGAAGACACCCCCUCAUGAAGUGACCAAGGCAUGGCCAGAGCUAAGACAUCAAUGUUCUUAGGAUGCCCUAAGAAAUAUUCCUCAAAAUGACUGAAACUUUCCCAGUUCCUCUCAAACAGAGUGCUGUGUGGGAGAAGCCUGGACCAGAAAAAGGGCCUCUGGUGGGGUGCUGGGAGAAGGCGAGGGGUCACAGACCAGUCACUGGCACAGAACCACUGUGCUGGCUUCCUGCUUUGGGUUACCGUACCAUCUGUAAAUUGUGUAAGAUGUAAGCCUUUGGGGACACAGGAAGAGCUGGCAGGAGCUCUGUGUUUUUCCCCAGUCCUUAGGAUGAAACCCAAGACCUCUACUACCGAACUACAUACAUCCCUGAUCCUUUUUAUUUUAUUUUGAGUCAGGGUCUUGUUGAGUCUAAGCCCUUGUCCUGAAGUGGUGGGAAAACAGAAUUGGGGCCAGAUCUGAAAGAAGGUUAGAAGUUCAGAAUCAAGGGUUAACCAAUAGCACUGGUACUUUUCCAAGCACUGAUGGGCAUAAUUUGGACCACCAGCAUUAACCCAAGAGCUAUGUAAGUCCCUGGACUAGCACACUCAGAAGACAACUUGUAAUAGGGUCCCUUCUCACCCUCUUUUAUUUUCAUGUGAAUAAAUCCUAGUCCUUUUACUCCUGCCUUCCAUUACUGUCUGUGGAUUUCAUUCUUUGAAUUUGCAAGACCCAAAAAGAAACUGUCCAUGAGCUGCUGGGGUCGACUGUGACACCGAGGCAUAGCCCAUCACUAAGAGCUGCCACACACCACUGGAUAGUAGUGGGGAGGAGUCCAGCUGCACCCUCUGAGCUGACUGUGAUUCACUGCUAACACUAAAGCGGGCUUUCUCCAUUGCAGAGGCCUGCAGGUGAUGCACACCCCACCCACCAGCAGAAGCAGAGAAUCUAGUUUCACCUCAAACUCCAGUUUCAUCUCUGUGUUGCCCAGACUGGCCUGGGACUUGUAAUCCUCCUGCCCCAGCUUCCUGAGUCACUCGGAUUCCAGGUUGAACCACUGUACCUGGCUUCUGCACUAUUUUUAAAAAUUAUUUCAGAAUAAAAGAUUUUGAAGAUUGUAAAAAGGAGAUAAUCUGACAAUAAUUUGAUUAAGGCAAUAAUUUUACAAAUUCACAGACACUACAUUUUGCUAUCAGCUCCCACAGGCAGGGAUUUUUGUUUGUUUCCUGCAACCAGAACACUGCCUCACUGAUGAGUGUGUAAAAAAACUGCCUGCUGGGUCUCAGCAAGCACAGAAGGGUGCACACUGUCCCACAAAUAAUAAACUCCAACAUCUGGUCUCCCUGCAACAUCACAGUGACCCACUUCCUGACCUGAGGUUGUCCUGUUGUCCUCUAGAGUGUCAACACUCCAUGAUCAGGGGCCCUGUGGUUUCUAAGCCUUGGUCUUUCAACUCCAGGCUCAACUUGAUGAAAACAUGCCAGUCCAGGUGUGCAUAUGACAUCCUUAAAAGCACAGCUUAACUCCCAUGCUCGGGAACAUAUAUGUGACGAACAGGGAGGAAGUACCAUUUCUGGGGCUGCUGUGACAAUCACCACAGACCUGCUGGCUCAACACAGCAGGAACUCCUUCUCACGUUCUGGAAGCCUGAAGUCCAGGGUCCAGCUGACAGGCUGCCUGGGGCGUGCCCCCUGAGGGCUCCAGGCUCCUUGGCUUUGGCUGCCGCAAUCAUGCUCCAGUCUCCGCCUGUCUGCACUGGGCCUUCUCCCUCUGUCCAACCUCACCAGCCAUUCUUUCUUUGUGUCCUCUCCUCUUAUUAGAACACCACCAUUGGACUCAGGGCCCCCCCUGGUCCAGCAGGAUCUCCUCUUAACUAAUUACAUCUGCAAAGACCUUAUUUCUGUGCCCAUGAAAAGUCUGCCACUGCCACCGAAUACAGCUAACAGCUCAGGAGACAGAUGGAUGGAGAAGAAAGAGCCUGACGGGCAGCAAGCCACAGGUGGGGGUGGAGGGCUGUCCCCAGACUCUGUCUCUCCCAGACUGCAGGUGCAGAGGCUGGGAUGGGGCUCCUGGGGACCCAUUUUUACCACAGCUGGUGGCACCAGCAUGGUCAUUGAUCCUUGCAGGAAUCAAUUCUCUUACUGUGGCUGCGAUGCUGUCUCCAGGUCACCUGGCAUUCUGGGCGUUCCUGUUCCUCUAAACACGAAGGGAAGAUGACCACCGAGGCGGGCGGGUGGCUACCGCUCAGCGGUGCCCUUCCUCCCGCUUCUCUUCAGUCAGGUCCUUGAGGAUGAACAGUGCAAGUUGACUUGCUAGUGCCAGCACCAGUCAACCUCUCACCAACUUCACUUCCAAAGCGAGGUCACACUCGCGGAUCCUGCGUGGAUGUAACAUUUUGGCGAACACCAUCUCGUCCACUCCAGGUGUGGGAAAGGAAGACAGACAAUGCCCACUGCACUCGGAAAGGCCCACUGUGUGCCCAGGACGUCAGGCACGCCUUCACGGAACCUAGAAACCUUCUGCGAGGGAGGUGCCAUGCUGACCCUUUGGCAGAUGGACAUAGAAGCUUCCAGGUCAAGCACCGGGUCCAGGGCAUGAGUGAGAAGGCACAGCACGAGUCCCAGCAAGUCCUAGUACCUGUGGGUGUGGCACCCUAGGCUCCAGCCAGGACACAUCCCGAGCUGGGAUGUGGUGCCCCUGCGGGAUCUCCCUCCACCCCUUAUUACAGGACAUGGGGAAGGGGCUUCCCAGGGCCUGAAAGAACAAAGCCUAGGUGUUCAUUCAUAAUUUUCUAUGUAUAGAAUUUAAAAAUACUUUAAUCACACCGUAGUGCUAAUUUUAUGAACUUCUUUCACUACAUCGAGCAUGUUCCCACAACAUCACUGACUUCUCAAAAUGCAAAACAUUCUAAAAUAAAACAACUUUUUUUCCUAAAAGAAUUUUUUUUUUUUUGGUCCUGUGGGGGUGCUCCUGGGUUGCUUCUGGUCUGGUCCACUUCUCGGUGCUUUUUUAUUUUUUCUUUUGAGGCAGGUCUCACUAAAUUGAUGAGGCUGACAUUGAAUUGAGAUCCUUCUGCCUCAGUCUCCCAAGCUGCUGGGAUUACAGGCAUGCACCAAUGCACCUGGCUCAAAAGUUUGUUGUUGUUUUUUUUUUUUAAAAGUUUUUUUUUUCCUUGCUGGGCAUGAUGGCACACUCCUGUAAUCCUCAGGAGCCUGAGGAAGGAGGAUCACAAGUUUGAGGCCAGCUUCAGCAACUAGUGAGACCCUAAGCAACUUAGAAAACUCUGUCUCAAAAUAAAAAGUAAAAAGGGCUGGGGAUGAGGCUCUGUGGUAGAGUGCCCCUGGGUUCAAUCCCCAGUACCCCAAGAAUACAUUCAGAAAGAUACAGAAAAUUGCAGAGGUGAGUUUUAAACUGCCUGUCCCACCCCCCAGGAUGGCUAAUGUGAAGUCUAUGCCCUUCAGUUCUACAGGCAUCUAUCCGAACCCCUGGAGUCUCCAGGGGAAGGGCCCAGGAACCCGCAUGGCAUUUGCACCCACAUGCUGUCCUGUGAGUACUCCCUGGUAACUACAGUGCUCCUUGCUGUGGGAGGAGCCUGGGUACUGCAGUUGCUUCCACUUUCUGUGAGGGCCAUGUUUAUUGAUAAAUCUUCUAUGCAGCCAUUAAUUUUCCUGUGAUAAUUGUUUGACUUGACAACUUUAAUUUUGAAGUCUUGUUUUCUUAUUUCCUAAGUGUGUAGGUGUCAAGUACUUUCCAGCCCCUGCUCUGUAGCAGACGUGGAGGUGGGAGCAGACAUCACUCCCUCCUACCAACACAGGGCAGCUGGCUCCCUGGCAGAGCCGGUGGGAACCUACAGCCCUGCCUUGUUCCUGCCUUGUUUCCACAGCUGUUACCUCCCACUUGUAAAACGUGGGCACCUGGGGCACAGCGAGGAACCGGCUGUCUGUCCACAGGGGAAUCCCCAAAAGCACCCAGGGAGACAGGGAGACAGAAGGUGGUCAGGGCAAGAACAGCAGGUAUGCCCCCAAAGUGGGGUCCCAGCGAACGCUUCUAAGCUCAGCAAACUCUGCUACCACUAGGAAGUAGGAGUGGCCUCUGUGUUGCCCUUGACUUACCCUCAUCUUUGUGAGCUCCCCGUCCUUUCAGAGAUGGCCGGCUUAGAGGGGCCCAUCUCAGAGGCAAAGCCACAACCUGCCCCACGUGAGUAUCCCAGAGCAGCAGGCUCAGGGUGGACUCCUAUGCUUUGGUUGCCCCCCUCACCGGCACCUGACCUCUGUUCUGCUGUUUCCCUUGAAACGGGUGAGUUGUACAUUAAUAAAGGCCCAGCUGUUCAAACUGUCAACGUUUCUUUCUCUCCCAACCAGUUUCAGACUGGGAUUCAACUGGUACGAAUUCUGAUGACGAUGUUUUUGAUGGGAACUGGGAAAGGUAGAUGAGUCACUAGCACAGGAGUGCUAACAAAAGGUGGAUUCGCCUGGGGCAGGGCGGACUGUGAGACUCUCAGAGAAACAAAUGAAUAAAUACGGCUGGGAUCCACCCUGGGAAAGCAGGGGUUUCACAGGCGAGACUUCAAAAUAGUUUGACUUCAAGAUCUUGAUCUUUCCAAAUACAGACUUCAAAUGUAAGUCAUGCUCAGGCUCUUGUGGUGGGGCCAGGGUGACUCUGGUGGGGAGACAGGAGAUUCAUUCUUUCCCGGCUCCUGUAGAUGAAAAACAGUGGCACCAAGGAAAGAGGUACAAAUAUUUCCAGAAUAUAAGUAUUUCCAGAGCGUCCCACAGAAAACCCAGCAAAACUCAGUGCAUACACAAGCAACAGUGACGAUGACAAGGCUCACAGCUCCUCUGGAGCUCACUGUGUCCGGGUGCUAAUUCACUCACUUGGUCCUUUAGAGAGCCUUUGGGACUGGUUAUGUGUCAUCCCCACAGAAAGGUCCAGCAAGCAGUCCCACACCACACAGCAGGGACCAGGGCUGCAUCCAUACCCUGGCAGGUGGGCUCAGAGCCAGCCCUCUGUGGCUCACGUACAUCUGGGUGCGCCCACACCUGCAGCAAUACGACCCAGAGCAGACCACAAAUGGCCAGAAAACCCACUGACCGACCAGGUACAAGCCAGACGACAGCCCUGCUGGUAGCAGGGCAGUUCCUCUGGGGGUUAUCCCUACAGAGCCCCCCACCCCUUUG
Molecule: long non-coding RNA, 8188 nt
Filed under: Marmota monax (woodchuck)
Lineage: Eukaryota; Metazoa; Chordata; Mammalia; Rodentia; Sciuridae
Source: RNAcentral